This 1505-nucleotide long non-coding RNA is filed under the name Struthio camelus australis. RNAcentral's name for it is "lncRNA (ENSSCUG00000007966.1)". Lineage: Eukaryota; Metazoa; Chordata; Aves; Struthioniformes; Struthionidae. The record is from RNAcentral.
CCCUGCCAAAGCCAUAAACUAUCUCAGCGGAUAGACUAAAUACAGCUCUUUACAAAGGACAUGAAUCUCCCUAUUGGAUGUCUCGGCUCUAAGAGGGAGGGACGGAGGCUUAGCUGGUGCAACUCCACAUAGCUCCAGGGCAGCCAGGGAAGGCGCCCAAUUCCCACCAGCUGAUGAACUGGCCCCCAGGAGAAAGCCCAGGGUAGGAGACGAAAGGCUGUGGAUUCCUCCUAUAUAGACACCUGAUCUGCGGAAGGGAGGAGAGGCUGAACCGGAGCUUACGCUCUGAGCCUAGAGACUGACCCCUGUCAUCAGUGGCAUUGCCUCCCUCGAGGAAAUACUUGACUUGGAAAAGCAGAAAGAAGAGAGAGCUGCAGACAAAACACCUAUUGUUAGUGAGAGCAGCCUGUUGAGACGUUGUGGCAGAAAAUGCUUACAAAGCAGAUAUUGAUCCAUCUCACAGGUGAAAGGUAUAAUUAGGCAUGCAGUCAAGGCCUGCAAGAUCCAAGACAAGAUCUUCUGAUGAAGGAAGGCCCUUGAUACGUCAAAGGGUGCAGGAAGCACAUGUAUGAAAUCAAUAGAGUGCAUCAGAGCUGAUAAUAAUGACAGAAGAUUGAUUAUACUGCAAAUGAUAGAACGAUUCCCUGGGAAGUUCCAGCAAUAAAGUCUCUGUCUUCCGGAGAUGACCUUCUGACUAUCUCAAAUAAGAAAAGAUUUAUGACAAGAAAUUUCUUGGGCUUGGUCUUGAGUGGAAGGUCUGGGAAAGUGCUACAGAAAAUAAGCAGUCUGAAUCUUCAGCUUGCGAAAACAAAGAAGAUAUUCAUCCCUGCCGGCGGUUCCCCCAACACGUCCCAGCUGCGUGUCCCCGGCCAUUGGGCACCACACCUGGGCCCCCACCACAGCUGCUCCCCCCAGCAGUGCCUGGGAAAGGCACCACGAGCCCUCUCUGAGGUCGGCACAGAAAUGACGCAGCUCAAAACUCUGCGUGCUGGGCAGCCGUGGAGAAAGCUGAUUCACACUGGGGCUGGGGCUGUCACAGGUCCUCAAGGAAGGCGCCAUCUCACAGGGCUGCAGUCAUCUCUGGGGCCUGGCACAGCAGAAGCUGCAGCUCAUUUUGAGGCGUGAAUAUUUCUGUAAUAAUAGUAAUAAUCCAGUUUGCCCCAAAUUUGCAGUUUCUGCUCAAACCAAAGUUCAUGGGAAACUUUUCUGGGAAAGAGGUCAAUCAUAUGUUUAAAGGAGGGGGGGAAAAAAACUUGCUGUGUGAGUUCACCUGCUUGCGAAGGACGUGAAAGAGUCAAAAGUGAAUGCACUGUACCGCUCAGCAUGCUGUGCUGAGGCAGAGCAGACAUGGUGGUGUCUCCAAGGAGUGCCAAGUUACCCAAUGUCUGCCUUCUGAGCUAGCAAGCAAUCCUCCUCCGGCUUUCUGUGGCUUUCUUUGGAGAGUUUUGGAGAAUUUUGUGCAUGAAGAAUGUCGAGAGCAAUAAAACAAACUCCUCUACUCUGCA